This 460-nucleotide ribosomal RNA is filed under the name uncultured bacterium. RNAcentral's name for it is "partial 16S ribosomal RNA". It matches the Rfam family "Bacterial small subunit ribosomal RNA", at positions 338 to 795 of the family's 1533-position model. The record is from RNAcentral.
CCUACGGGUGGCAGCAGUGAGGAAUAUUGGUCAAUGGACGAGAGUCUGAACCAGCCAAGCCGCGUGCAGGAUGACUGCCCUAUGGGUUGUAAACUGCUUUUAUACAGGAAUAAAACGCGGCACGUGUGCCGUUUUGCAUGUACCUUAUGAAUAAGGAUCGGCUAACUCCGUGCCAGCAGCCGCGGUAAUACGGAGGAUCCGAGCGUUAUCCGGAUUUAUUGGGUUUAAAGGGUGCGUAGGUGGGUUGUUAAGUCAGUUGUGAAAGUUUGGGGCUCAACCGUGAAACUGCCAUUGAUACUGGCAGACUUGAGUACAGUUGAGGUAGGCGGAAUGCGUGGUGUAGCGGUGAAAUGCUUAGAGAUCACAAAGAACCCCGAUUGCGAAGGCAGCUUACUAAACUAUAACUGACGUUGAGGCACGAAAGUGUGGGUAGCAAACAGGAUUAGAUACCCGGGUAGUC